This is an RNA transcript of Megalops cyprinoides (Indo-Pacific tarpon), 3270 nucleotides long. It is a transcript of the gene named post-GPI attachment to proteins phospholipase 3, with no coding region annotated. The transcript is spliced from 9 exons. NCBI's taxonomy places the organism in Eukaryota, Metazoa, Chordata, Actinopteri, Elopiformes, Megalopidae. The record is from RefSeq and is a predicted model, not a curated record.
ACGACUCCAGGUGUGUUGUGUAUUUUUUCAGAAGUGGCUAAAGGGGAGGAGCGAGCAAGCUUUGACACUGCAAAGCAGCGUCGAGAGGCGCUCGGUGCGCUUUUACGACUAACAAUGUCCUGGUGAAAGUGAGCAAUUUUUGCUUGGACUUGAUGGCCUGAGGUGUUGCUCUGGCCUGGUUGUGCCUUCAGUAACGUGUACGACGGGUCUGCGGUGAUCAUGGCUUCGCUUCUGCACCCCUGUCCAGCUGCCUACUUCGCCUUGUCAAGUAUCGUCCUACUGCUGCUGCCAACCACUGUCACCGCGUCUCAGGGCGACAAGGAGCCAGUCUAUCGAGACUGUGUGAAGCAGUGUGUUCGCACGAACUGUACCGGGGCCCGAUUGAGAGGUUUUCAGUCUAUCCAGCCGCGGUACAUGGCACUGACAGGCUGGACAUGUCGUGAUGACUGCCGCUACCAGUGCAUGUGGACCACAGUGGGGCUGUACCAGGCUGAAGGGUACAGUGUGCCCCAAUUCCAUGGCAAGUGGCCAUUUGCACGAUUCCUGUGCUUUGAAGAGCCGGCAUCUGCCCUGGCCUCGCUGCUGAAUGGCCUGGCCUGCUUACUGAUGCUCCUGCGUUACCGCAGUGCUGUACCACGCCAGAGCCCCAUGUACCACACCAUCACCGCCUUCUCCCUGGUGUCUCUGAAUGCCUGGUUUUGGUCCACAGUGUUCCAUACCCGUGACACCUAUCUCACAGAGAAAAUGGACUACUUCUGUGCAUCAGCUGUCAUCCUGUACUCCAUUUACCUGUGCUGUGUCAGGACCCUUGGGCUGCGCAGGCCGGGUGUGUCUAGUGUGGUGGGAGUCCUGUUGAUCCUGGUUUUCACCUCCCACGUCUCCUAUCUCACCUUUGUCAGCUUUGACUAUGGCUAUAACAUGGCCGCCAAUGCCACCAUUGGAAUGGUGAACCUGCUGUGGUGGCUGUGCUGGUGCUGGCAGAAUCGGCGCACACUCCCAUACUGGUGGAAGUGUGGCGCUGUGGUGGUGCUGCUGCACGGCCUGGCCCUCCUGGAGCUGCUGGACUUCCCCCCACUCCUCUGGGUGCUGGACGCUCACGCCGUCUGGCACCUCAGCACCGUGCCCGUCCACUUCCUCUUUUACAGUUUCUUAAUAGAUGACAGCCUGCACCUACUCAACACAGAGAAGGCUGGGGUUAAGCUGGAGUAGGAGCCAAGACACAUUUCCCUGCCUCUUCCUGCGCACUCCUCUGAUCAGGGCAGCCAGCACCAUAAGGGGGCAGAACUCAACCGACAUUGCAGUUUGCACUUUUCUCUGCUGUGUAUUGAAUUCUGUUGAUAGAUUUCAUUUUCUUUCUUUUUUUUAAGAUUUGUAUUUAUCAUGACUUUAUUGAACAUUGCAUUCACUAAGCUUUGCCUUGUAGAGACUACUCCAACAGAGUCCCAAACAGUUAGCCAAACAGUGUUAUAAAGACAGCGUGUGCUGUGAGGGAACAGAGAACUGGCUUUAAAAUGAAAAGCUGUCUGAGACAGGCUGGGCUCAACCCAACUCCACAUUACUGCACCUCUGGUAGAUCUCACUCCACUGCAUUUAGCCAAUAGAGGCCUGUAGGCGUAUCUACCUUUCAAAAGGCUGUAACACAAUGCUCAAAGAGUCAGUGUUGCAUGAGAUAGCAGUGGUAUAAUGUGGGGACUGGAUAAGUACUAAUGCUUCCCUCUACCAAAAUAUGCGGAUGUCUUUUCUUUGCCAUAUGCAGUGAAGGCUUAGACACUCAUAAACAAGCAUUGCCUUUGUUAAUUGCCCCAUCCUUAUCUGGUUGAAUUCCCUGUCUAUAUUUUAUUGCCUGGAUCAAUUUUAAGUUGGCAAAAGAAGGAUGAAGUAUCAAAGAGUGAUAGUAGUAGUUGGAUGCAGUUUUUCAUUGUAGGUUUUGUAAAUGAACGAAAUGGGCUACUGAAAUUGAGAAAAUGAUUUUUUAGGUAGUACUAAAACCAACCAAUAGAGGGCAUGCAAUAGCCUUUGCUCUGCAAAACGCAGGAGAUAGUGAAGAAUAAGGUGCCUUUUAAUUUAGGGGUGAGUCAGCAGCCUCCUUAGAUGAGGAUUGUUAGGGCCACAUGGACUAACUGGGGUCUCUCUUGCCCUCCCUCUUUCAUUUUUUUGCUUGAAUUUUGCUGCUUUAUUCCAUUGAGAGGUUGUGGUAUCAUUUUUCUAACUUUUGUUGUGAUUGUUUUAAUGAUUAUUACCAUUUGUGCUUUGUUUGCUGUUUUGCUCUGGUUGAUUUUGAGUUCUUUGGGGUGGGUUAGGGGUUAAAAUAUGGAUAUUCAUUUUAUUCACAUUCACCUGGAUGGCCUUUCUGUUUGUACAAGAAGAGAGAGACUUUAAACCUUUUCAGGUGUAGGGAGCACAAGGGUGACAGUGGUAGAGGAAAGGAAGGGCAGAUUUGGAAGAAAACCAAAUGCAGAGGUGAAAUAAAGAGAACAGGAACAGAGUAUAAAAAUGAGGGGGAGACAAAGUGAGGGAUACAGUGAGUAGAGAAUGAAAGAGUACAGGUAUAACUAUAAUUGAUCCUGGUUUGGCAUCCCAGAAAACUAACUUUGUUUGCAUACGCAUGUAUGAAAGAGCAAGGGAGAUAGUCAUUCUAUGUUAACAUUGUGUUCUUUGCAUGCCACAUACCUGUAGUAUGCUCUCUGUCACUGACCAGUUUUACCUCAUAUUUGAAGUUCUGUCCUGUCAAACACGUUUGUGCCUGACGGUCUCACAGGGAACUGUGUGUUUGUGGGUGUAGCGUUAUGUGUUAGGAAACCUCAGUUCUAUUGUUCUCAGAAAUAUUAAUGUGAAACAUUUACGUUGAGUUUGCCCACAUUGUCUUCUGUUAAUUUUUGAAAACAAAAGUGCCAUUUUCCUUUGUUUUCUUUGUUUUUCUGCCUUUUUGAAGUUUCACUGAGGGGGAGUUAUGAAUAGGAAGGAAAUCUCUCACACGAGAGAAGACAACAGAACCACAGGAAAAAUAAGAAUAUAUAGUGGUAUAGUAGUCUCUGAAUUCACAGUGGCUGGGUUAUAGUUAAUGACAGUGUGCACUGUGUCCUUGGAUGUGUGCAAGCUUUGUGGGACCAGAUAUUUUGAUGAUAUGACACUGUUGUGAUCUGUGGAUAAUGGAGAGUAGGUUGUCAUAUGUGGUUUGUCCUACAGUGCAUCAUAACAUUGGCCUACUUAAUGUGUUUUUGACAAAGAUUGUGAAGCAGAUUGAUAUCUGUGUGUGUGUGUGUGUGUGUG